Molecule: ribosomal RNA, 252 nt
Filed under: uncultured bacterium
Lineage: Bacteria
Description: partial 16S ribosomal RNA
Rfam family: Bacterial small subunit ribosomal RNA
Source: RNAcentral
UACAGAGGUCCCAAGCGUUGUUCGGAUUCACUGGGCGUAAAGGGUGCGUAGGCGGUUGGGUAAGUCUGAUGUGAAAUCUCACAGCUUAACUGUGAAACUGCAUUGGAUACUAUCCGGCUAGAGGAAUGGAGGGAGACUGGAAUACUUGGUGUAGCAGUGAAAUGCGUAGAUAUCAAGUGGAACACCAGUGGCGAAGGCGAGUCUCUGGACAUUUCCUGACGCUGAGGCACGAAAGCCAGGGGAGCAAACGGG